CAGCCGCCACGGUAAUACGAAGGGGGCUAGCGUUGUUCGGAACUACUGGGCGUAAAGGGCGCGUAGGCGGCCAUUCAAGUUAGAUGUGAAAGCCCUGGGCUCAACCUAGGAAUUGCAUUUGAUACUGUUUGGCUUGAGUUCGGGAGAGGUGAGUGGAAUUCCCAGUGUAGAGGUGAAAUUCGUAGAUAUUGGGAAGAACACCAGUGGCGAAGGCGGCUCACUGGACCGACACUGACGCUGAGGCGCGAAAGCGUGGGGAGCAAACAGGAUUAGAUACCCCCGUAGUCCCUGUCUCUUAUAC
RNAcentral lists this ribosomal RNA (301 nucleotides) under uncultured bacterium. RNAcentral's name for it is "partial 16S ribosomal RNA". It matches the Rfam family "Bacterial small subunit ribosomal RNA", at positions 509 to 807 of the family's 1533-position model. The record is from RNAcentral.